Molecule: long non-coding RNA, 1428 nt
Organism: Lycium ferocissimum
Lineage: Eukaryota; Viridiplantae; Streptophyta; Magnoliopsida; Solanales; Solanaceae
Exons: 4
Source: RefSeq, a predicted model, not a curated record
AAGAGUCUUUUUGCUCAAUCACAAAAAAUUAUCAUCCUGUUCUCUUAAUCUUUUCUAGAAUAAUCAGAUAUUUUGUUCCAACAAGGCAACAACAGAGAGAUAUGAAUGUCUUCUCUAGAUUCUCAAGGAUUGCUCUUUGAGUUCUCAUCUUCCGGUACUAGCCCUUUUGUUUUCCAUCUUCUCAUUUUCCAUGAAUAAACCCAAUUAUUUUAUCUGUAGUCUAAUCCUUGGCUGUUCUUGUUUUUGUCCUGCAACCAGUUGGCCCUUUUCUCUGGUUGCUUCACCAGUUCUUCUUUUUCUGGUGCCCUGGGAAAAUUCUUACAAUCCCAACUUUGAAGCUCUAACUCAAUUAGGAACACCAACAAUUACAAAAAAAAAUAUAUAGAUAAGAUGAAAGCGUCCUAUAGCCUCACGGUAGACAUCUACUUUAUGUUGAGACAGAUAGAGCUUGUGUUUUAUCUUCGUAUUCACAUCCCAGAAUUAAGUUGCCAAAAUGAGGUGGCACAGUUGACUGAAGGACGUGAGAAAUGUCUCAUAGGAAGUUCUAGCCUCCAAGACACGGGUCUUUGGGCUUUCUGCCCAGAAAGAGAGUUGCUCGACACAGGGGAAAGGGUAUGCUAUAUUCUUUUCGGUACUACAUAUAAUGGUUGGAAUCUUGAUCCACUGUUCUAUUUUCAUUAAAUUGAUCAGUUACCAGAAGGUAGUAGUUGGGAUAUGAUGGUCUAAAAUGUCCAGAAGCAAGAUUCUUAUCACGGAAGUGUGUUUAGGUGUCUCUCCCCUCUUUUUGGUAGAUAAGCAAAAUAAAUUAAUGCACCCAAUCCCAGGAUAGCUCAGUGAAAAAAAGGAGUUAUUUCUCUGAUUUUCAUCUGUUUUCAUUUGCUUUCUUCUUUUUCAGUGAAGGAACCCUCUACUACGAACUGGUGCAAGUCCAAGAAGUAGGCCUUUAUGAAGUACUCCAAGAAAUAUGAGACUGAUGAAGGUAAAAAAGAUAUCCAGGCACAGUGGGAGAAACUGAAGAAGUAUGCUUAUGUCACCCGUGUGUUACCUUACACUCAGUGAAUAUGUUGAUCUUAUAGGGAUCGAGAACGUGAACAAGUCAGCAAGAUAUCACCUACAGGACAUUUAGGUUGGACCCGUGCUGAAUAUUUUGGUUGAAGGAUAGCGUUGAGUACUACUGGUCUAUGCCAAAGUGCAGAGAAAAUCUAAUAGCACAUUCUAUGAUAUGUGGUUCAUAUAUGACUAUAUAAUUUUAGAUUCAUGGGUGGUCUUAUGCACUUACUGUAACAAAAAAAUUACCCAAUUAUGCACAUAUUGUACAUAGACUAUUGGUUAUUAGUAUCUGUUUAAACUUCAGUACGACUUCGUGUUUGGCCGUAUUUAUCUUGAAACACGUAAGACUGGAACAAUACGAUCAAUAUUAUGCGAAGG